CAGCAGCCGCGGGAAUACGAAGGGGGCUAGCGUUGUUCGGAAUUACUGGGCGUAAAGCGCACGUAGGCGGCUUUGUAAGUUAGAGGUGAAAGCCUGGGGCUCAACUCCAGAAUUGCCUUUAAGACUGCAUCGCUUGAACGUCGGAGAGGUGAGUGGAAUUCCGAGUGUAGAGGUGAAAUUCGUAGAUAUUUGGAAGAACACCAGUGGCGAAGGCGGCUCACUGGACGACUGUUGACGCUGAGGUGCGAAAGCGUGGGGAGCAAACAGGAUUAGAUACCCGUGUAGUCCCUGUCUCUUAUAC
RNAcentral lists this ribosomal RNA (301 nucleotides) under uncultured bacterium. Its description in RNAcentral is "partial 16S ribosomal RNA". It matches the Rfam family "Bacterial small subunit ribosomal RNA", at positions 509 to 807 of the family's 1533-position model. The record is from RNAcentral.